CGGCCUUCCGCCCCUGACUUCACUUGAUAACAAACUAGAAACUGAAACAGGGUCGGGAUGCCGGCUUGGAGUUAGAGAUGAGUCACUGCUGAGAGCAGCUGCAGUAGCUGAGCAGUGGCAGCAGAGAGGCAGACGUGAGCUGAGGGCGCAGAGGCAGGCAGCAUCUCUGAGGGUCCCCAAGGAACAUGGCUGGGAGCCGUGAGGUGGUGGCCAUGGACUGCGAGAUGGUGGGGCUGGGGCCCCACCGGGAGAGUGGCCUGGCUCGUUGCAGCCUCGUGAACAUCCACGGUGCUGUGCUGUACGACAAGUUCAUCCGGCCUGAGGGAGAGAUCACCGAUUACAGAACCCGGGUCAGCGGGGUCACCCCUCAGCACAUGGUGGGGGCCACACCAUUUGCCGUGGCCAGGCUAGAGGUGAGUGAAGGCCAGGCCAG
This 433-nucleotide long non-coding RNA is filed under the name Pan troglodytes (chimpanzee). Its description in RNAcentral is "long non-coding RNA NONPTRT005481". The record is from RNAcentral. Lineage: Eukaryota; Metazoa; Chordata; Mammalia; Primates; Hominidae.